Chinchilla lanigera (long-tailed chinchilla) is the source of this 5061-nucleotide long non-coding RNA. Lineage: Eukaryota; Metazoa; Chordata; Mammalia; Rodentia; Chinchillidae. The record is from Ensembl.
CACACAUUGUUUCGGGCACCAACUUGUUGCCUCCAUACAGUCUGGGUUUGUUGGACUCUGCUGAGCUUUGGGGAUAUGCAGGUUGAUCAGGAGGGCUGCAGUAUGUCUAUACACUGGAGUCAUGGUGAUAGAAUUUAAAUCCUUGGAGGUGCUUUAGAGGUUUACCCAGCCAGUUAUCACAAAUGAGGAAAAUGAAACUCAUACAAUUUGACUCACUGACCCAAGCCCAUGCCACUAAUGCAGCAGACACUGGAACCCAGACCCGUCUCCAGUUUCCCCACCAAGGUACUUUUCUCUGUUGCUUACAGCCUAGCAUUUUGGUUUAUUUCUGUGGCUGUAAUCUGUGGGCCAAACAAGUGAUGAAGAGGACGCCAGAGACUGAAUGACGGUGAGGGGCAGGGAUUUGGGGUUGGUGAGACCUGAGCUUGCACUGCGUCUCACUUGUGAGGUGGCUGCAGCCAAGGACACGUUCAAAGAAAGAGGAGGGGGGUGCAGUGGGUUGUGCCAGCGACACCGCACCUUUCUCUCAAGACAGGGGAAUUUAUACUGGAAGUAGUGUGUGAAAGUCUCCUGCUUCCAUUUCACGGGCCAGGUCAGGUGGUUUGUCCUUGGUUAGCUGGAAGAGAAAGGGACAUAUUUGGCCUCUCCAGUAGGAGGCAGUGAGGCCAGAUUGAGUCCAGAGUUUCAGGGAGCAGGAAGGUGGGACCGAGGCCUCCACAUGGCCUAUAGGUUGGAACAGACUGUGCAGAGAAGCAGGAGAGCAAUGAGAGGAGACUGGCUUGAGUCCUUCACCUGGUGUAACUCUCCCCUACCUGAGCGCUCUGCCUUCAUUCCCCAGGGCCACCUGGGAAAUAAUAGUAAGAGUGUCUCUAAGAGCAUGAAGAGAUUUGGGAAAGAGAGAACCAGGUCAUGGUUAUUGAAAGUGCUUGAGUGAAAUACAAAAGCUUUUCUAAAAUGCAAAGUGGUUUUGCACCAUCCCCCACAUAUCUCACCUUGGCGUCUCCUGCUCCUUAGGAACCAGGUAAGAGCGGUUCAGACUGCCCUUUCUUGGCUCACCAGACCCGUCACAUUAGAAGGGAUUGUGUUCUGUGGUUAUGCUGGCUCACAGCUGCAUUUCUGCUGCAUUGCUCCACUCAAGGACCACAUCCCAGCCUGGGGAGGCUCCUGGUGUCCCCACUUGACCCGGACAUCCAUCUCAGAGUCUUUCCUCUCUUUCCACCAACCUUGCCAAGCUCCAGGUAUAUUCACUUUACGAAGAGAGUCUGUAAAGCAAAUUGAAGACCAGAAACAAUCAGUCUCAGAGCCCAGCCUCUCCAUGAUGGUUUGGGGAAGAAUCCACCGGAAAAAAGAGGGGCUGCCAUGCCAGUGCUAUUUUGGUGAUACACAACUGAAAUUACGUCCUGAAGCUUGACCCAAGCUGCCUGAUACUUUGAGGCCCUGGGCUUAUAGCUGCCUAAGAACUAAAAGGCACAGUCUGACGUUGUAGUCUGUGAAGAUGAGGCACCAUGACCAUCGAAGUGCCUAUCUCCGUAACUGCCCUUUUAUAACCCCUGCCUCAGCCAUCCUCCUGAUCUCCCAUCCAUAUUCUCAACAACACACUGAGCCUAACAGUCACUCAAAAGGAGGGAAAUGUGCCUGUUAGGCAGGGGAAAAAAGUACUUCAAAUCUGCACCAUCCAAGGUUUCCAGACAAAGUCCUCUCUUCGCCUAUCUACCUAUGCAUCUUCCUAGCAAUUGAUUGAUCAAUCAUUGAUAUAUAGAUCUAUAGAUCUACAAAGAGAUCUUUAUGGGAAUUGGUUCAUACAAUUAUGCCGGCUGAGAAGCCCCACAGUGUGUCACCUGCAAGCUGGAGGAGCAGGAGAGUGGCAGAGGACAUCAGUCUAAGGCCAAAGGCUGAGAAGCUGGGGAGCUAUGGAUGUGUCCCUGGAGUCCAAGGUCUGAGAGCCUGGAGCUCUGGUGUCCAGGAGAAAAUGGAUGUCUCAAGCAGACUGAAUUUGAGCUGUGGCCUUAGAAAGCUCACUGGAGAACAAAUGCCACCAGGCUAGGAGAAGAACCAAGGACAAGAUGAGUGACACUCGAUAGAUGACCUUUGACAAAUGCCCAACCUUUCUUCCUCGGUGCUUCCAUAUGCAAAGCUAAAGGGAGAUCUAUGGGAACUGAAAGAUUCCUCAUGCGUUCUAGAGCUCCAGCCCUUUCUGAGGAACCAUGUGAGAAGAGAACAGUUACAGGAAGACUAUCAGUAAAUGUCAGAAGUCUUUGGUAUGUGAUAUCAAGGAAAUGGCCAGGGGUAACAAAAAAUUCGGAUUAUAAAUAGGAUGGAACAAACCCCACAGCACUGAAGACCAGGCAACACCUCAAAAUUAUGCAACACAGGAAAUUUCACAGCUCAGAUAAGAAGCAAACCUCUCAUUGGAUGUUUUUAUAACUUAUAAAACAUUGUCACCUAGAACAAUAGCUUUCAGACUGAGAAGCACUUGAACAUAAUAAUGUCCCAUUUGAUCCUGACACAAUCUUGAGUGGCAGAAAGCAUUGGUUCUACUGUCCCUAUUUUAUGGCUGAGAAAACUGAGUUUCCAAGUAAUUAAGGUCAUGGACUCUUUUUUCCUAAAUCUCUACAAUUUCUAGAGACAGUGGGGUCAGUGGAGUUUUACUGCUGAGCAUCCAUGUCAGAAGUAGGAGCCCUGGGUGGAAGGUGGUGGGACCCAUGGAACACACUGUGCCCCACAGGCUGGAGUAGAGGCCUGUGGUUGUGGUUGGCCUGCUUGGGAAAGGGCAUCCCUUGGCAUCACCAAAGAGAUGGCACAGUAGAUUUGCAGGUAGCCUGCUGUCUGUGUGCUGACUCUGCUAGGACUGUGUCCUAAUCUAGUCUCUUUCUAAAUGUUCCAAUGCCAGGUUUUGGCCUGGGAGGCUGUGGGGUACAAAUAAUAGGGGAGUCUAUGAGGACUUGUGCUUUCUUGCUGUAUGCUGUUAUGUGCAGCUGGGUGUUACUGUACCAUUUUUUGUUGCUGUUCAGAGAUUUUUGUACCCUAUGCAUUAUUAUUUCAAAAAUAGACCUGUAAUAUAUUCUUGCAUGCUUGAAUUUAAUUAUGACCAUUUUCACUGAAAUGGAUGUGGUUUUUUUAUUUCUGGCCAGGCCAGAUGAGAAUCCCUAAAGAUAGAUUUUUGAGUGAUGUCUAAGCCAAUUUCUUUGAUCUUUUUAAUAUUUAUAACCAAGGAGCUCUUCUCUAGGAUGGUGAUUUAUGACUUUGACAUACUUUCCCUGGCAUUCUCUGGGCACAAGGAAACAUGUGGAACCUCACAGAAGUAACUGUUCUGAGGAAUCCAGGUGGAGCCACACUGCCUCCUCCAAUCUCACUAGCAUCCCAGCAGGAUUCGGAAAGGUCACAUGUUUAGAAUUCUAGGGCUGUCUUAGGAUCACCCAGAACCCUACAUAAUCAUUUCAUAACUUGGAGGUUGUGGCAGGAGUAAACCAUCCAUACUGUGGCCUGCUCCUGUCUUAUUUGACCGGUUCAGCUUCCAAGGACAUUGUGGGCUCUGUAUUUUGUGUCUCAGCAGGACUUAGAACAACAGCUCAUAUGCCAUUCUGUCCUGCAGUGUUUCUGUUUAGCAACACCUCAUCAUCGUAAUGCUGCUGCCUAAAGUACAAGAGAAGUUUCAGGAACACAAACAAUAGCAUAUCUGUGCCCUCUGUUUGCCUCACUGUGACUCCCUUACCAGCUGCACCUGAGCAGGCAGAGCCCAUGCCCUCUGCUCACCUGUGGGUACUCGCCCAACUGUGGGCUCGGACUUAAUCAUGCCACCAGAAGACCUUACCUCUUUGGUGUAUGCUGUGGUUAGGAAAAGGAUGCCUCUCUUUGGAUUUGGAGCUCACUGCAUUUAGGGUGGAAUGUUUGGGUAGCACUGAUGGUGGAUGAGACUGCAGUAUUCAUUCAUUCGUUUACAUCUCUCUCCAGUCUUCUCUGACAUAGAAACUGAGUGCCCAUACUAGGCAUCCAGUGGUCAGCAUAGAAGAUAAUAGUUCAGAGGAGAGCUUCUGGUUCUGUGGAACAGCUCAAGGAACUUCAUCUAUUUCAUCUUCAGUGGGUUAGUGACUGCCAACAGCCUGUUGCUGUUCAAGGGUCCUCACUAAAUUUAGGAAGCUCUGGCCCUGUCCCCUCUUCUCUUUGGAGCCUGGACCUGGGUGGCCUUGAGUGAAGAGCAAGACCCUCCCAGAACCACUGUUCAUGCUCCCUGGCUAAGUAUUACACAUGGGAGGAGCUUGGGCGUGGAGCACUCUGAAGGCUGUGUCACCCUGCACUCCAGCCACAGAGGUUUCAUCACCAAAGGAAAGCUGAGCUGUGAGCUUGUUGCUAGGCGGUGCUGUUUAUUUUUAUAAACAAGCCUUGUGCUUAAUUUAGAAUUCUGCUUUUGCUUUUUCUUUCUUCUUUCCAGCAUCAUCUGGGUGUCUGGCACCAUCAAAGAUUUCUGACCCAACAAGAGCUUAUGGGAGAGGGGAGGGGAGGAAGAAGGUUUGAGAGAGGAUUGAUGCCAGCCAGGCUGCCUCAAGAGGAGGUGGAACAUGAGGCCAUGCCAUUAGCGUCCUGUUUGGCUUCGGCAUGAGAUUCAUCUGUGACACCUACAUCGUCCUUGCUUGGAACAGCAGGACAGAAAGCAGCCCUGGUGCUUGCUCCUGUGCUGACGAGCCCACACUGAAGUACAGCAGAACAGAAGGCAAGGCCACAGAAAAGAGGACCCAAGUCAGGAGCAGAAGCAGGUGACAUCUGGACUCUCCAUUCUUUGGAAACAGCUAUUUUAAUAGCUCCACUUUACUGCAGCUAUUUUGACAGGGAGAUAUUUUUGUUUGGCCCCAAAAUUUAGCUGAGAAAUGAUCAGCUUUUCAAAAAAGUGAUAAAUAAAGUGGAUGUUUCAUACUCCAUCCAUAAGUAACACCAAACUCUGAUCUCACACCAUUGUCAGUCCCACAUGGGGCAUGAAGGACAUAUAGAUGGGGGCUGGUGAAAUAAAGGGUUGGUAGAAAAUGGGAGAAAUAUCAGGAACCGGUAAUGCUCAGGAAUGCAGUGUCA